CAAACUCACUGACAAAUUUGGGCGAAACGUUCUUCACCAUGCAGUGUGCAAUCAAAAUCAUGAAGUACUUAAAGCAAUCCUUGAAAAUUCAUCAUUGAUUUACCUUAUACUUGGGAAAGAUGCUAGAGGGUACACCCCUGUCCAUUUAUUCAAGGUUUUUACUCGCCCUUUGCCUUCAUUCAUUCUUGACGAAGAUACUGAUGCCUUCAUCCUUUGGAAGGAGCUGUACGAUAAAAUCGGAGACUCUUACCUGCAGGUUAGUCAUCUAUCUUAUCAUAAUAUGCCUUCGUUCUUUAUCUUUACAAUGGUGGAACUAGAUGGGAGGAUUCAAAUCCAGCCCAUACCCUCUAUUUCCUACACUCUUUAAAAAAUGCAAGGCAGCCAACUGAUUAAAGGCCUGUUUGGCUAAUUAUUGGUAACUUAUUUUGGCGUAAUUAAUAACUAGGUCACUAUAUUAUAAAAAUCAAAUGAUAAAUUUUAUUUUGGCUGAUUAAAGUGAUUUUUUUUUUAUUUGCACAAUACCCCUGUACUAAACUUUCCUUUACUGGUCCUCAUUCCCACCCACCCAAACCACACAAAACUCCUAUUGAAGCUUUCUUUCUCCUUACACUCAACUUACCCUUAUUGUUCGUGGGUAACCAAACACCAUUUUUCACAUAUCCAAAGCUCAAAGGGAGCUCUAAAGUCGUACAUAGUCAUCCCACAACCAUUCUCUACCAUUGAUUUGGUCCAAAAAUCCACCAUUGCCACCAUUGUUGUAGUCUCUGCCUCUCAAUUCUUUUGAGUUUGUAAUUGACUUUUUGGUUUGAGAAUGCAAGGAAAAUUAGUUUUAUUUGCUAAUGGAAAUUAUCAAUGAGAUGGGCUUGUUGAACUUCUAUUUGUUCUUUUUAUUUUUUUUGAAACUAUGAUUCAGAUUUUGUAAAAGUCACAAGUAGUAAAGUCCAUUCAAAUUUUUAUUAUUAGAUUUGUUAUUGUUGAUCUUUAUAUUUAUUUUAAUUUUGGGAUUAGAUUGAUGAUCUGAGUUUGUGAGUGGGAGAGAGGAAAAUAGUGGGAGAGAUAGAGAGAGAUAUAGGGAUGGUGCAAAAAUAGAGGGAAGGAGGGAAGGGAGGGAUAGUUAAAUUUUGUAAAUUUGAUUUGAUUAUAAGGGUAACUCUGUAUUUUAUUUGUCUUUAAAGGCAAAUAUGAAUAGAAAAAGUGAGUCAUUAAUGAAAUCAAACAAUAUGAACUACAUCAUUUAAGUUCAAAAAUACAGCAACUGACUCAUAAUUAUGCCAAACUACAGGGACAACUGUGUAAUUCAUUCUUAAUUAUUUGAUAAUUUUUAUGCAUAUUUAUGAUAUAUUUGCAUUUUAGUUCUCUAAAGAAAAUGAAUAGUAUUGUUAUGGUUUUAACAUUUUUCUCUCCUUUAAUGUAAUAUGUUCAUUAUUUGUAGAGGUGGCAAACAAAUCAAAUGGUUUUGGCCGCAAGUCAUAAGUGUCUCAUCAUUUUUGUUUUUGACGAAUUUAGAUCGAGUCAUCUGGUGUUGGUGGUUGUUUCCCUAAUUUUUCUCAACACUAAGUUCUGUCUAUGAUGCGGGAAUGUCAAUGAUGUAUUUCAAUGUGAAUGUGUCAUAGGUUGAUGUUGACUGUUUAUAGGCAACAAUGACUGAGGAAGCUUCACUAGAAAAAGCUGGCUCAGCAAGGAUCAAUGCCAGAAGAAAAAGCGGGCUCACAAGACCUUAGAAAGCCCCAAAAGGGUUUUCACUAAUGUAAGGGGAAGCUAAUGAAUCUCGCAUGACCUUAGAAAGCAUUAUGAGGGUCUUCAUUGAUCUUUGAAAGCCAAAGAAUGCUUAGGGAACCAUAGGAAUCUCCAAAAGGGUCUUCACCAACUUUAGAGAGUUGAUGAAUCUUGGAAAACCUUAGAAAGCUUAGCGAGGGUCUUUGCUAAUCUUAGGAAGCCAGAGGAUGCUUACAUAUAUGUGGCCUAUAUAAGUCCUAUACGAAGACUAUCUUGUGAAUCCUAUCACAACAUUGGACUUUGACGUUCUUUAUAGUAUUUAUCUAAUCCUAUCUAUGUAUAAAUUAUAAUACAAGAAAGAAUAGGUUUGUGUCCUACCUUGUCCUAUCUAUGGAAAUUCUCUCUCUCCACUUGGUAAUGUAUUUAGUGUGCUUUGCUUAAAGGGAGCUUGCAAUUUCUUCGAAGAGUUCUUGGUGCUUUAGAACUCCUUGUCCCUUGCAAGAUGGGCAAAAUUCUAGUACUUUGAAGAAAAUGUUUGCGCCACCAUGAGGGAAGCACCUUGAAGUUUCUGAGUAUUGCCGACUGACAAUGUGCCAUUAUUAAAUUACUAUAAAUAUGUGUUAGUGUGUGCUAUGUGCAAGAAAAUGAAAGUGAGAGAGUGUUGAGAGAAACAUUAGUGUGUAAGAUAAAGUGUGUGUGAGAGUGCCCUAUCAACCCUAUGUCUAAGUUAGUGUGAGUUCUAUAAAUAAGUGUGAUAAGUGUGUACACUUGAGUGAAAGAAAUGU
Molecule: unclassified non-coding RNA, 2501 nt
Filed under: Hevea brasiliensis (rubber tree)
Lineage: Eukaryota; Viridiplantae; Streptophyta; Magnoliopsida; Malpighiales; Euphorbiaceae
Source: RNAcentral